GAGGUUGUGGCUCAGUGGUAGAGUGCUUGCCUAGCAGGCAUGAGGCAUUGGGUUCAAUCCUCAGCACCUCA
Molecule: non-coding RNA, 71 nt
Organism: Ictidomys tridecemlineatus (thirteen-lined ground squirrel)
Lineage: Eukaryota; Metazoa; Chordata; Mammalia; Rodentia; Sciuridae
Source: Rfam